Long non-coding RNA from Gallus gallus (chicken), 3986 nucleotides. The record is from Ensembl. Lineage: Eukaryota; Metazoa; Chordata; Aves; Galliformes; Phasianidae.
GGGAUCUUGGUAUGCUCAGUCAGCCCUCUGCAGGGAGAAGGCUGUGGCACUUUUAAUAAAAUUAGAAACGAUGGUGUGAAAGGAGGCCCAUGGCACAGCCUCCUGCCCAAAGCAGGACUGCUGCCAGCAUGAAGCCUGUGUCUGUCUGAGCAUUCAGAGCCUCCAAGGGGAGAGCUGAUGUAAUCCUUGCCCCUGUUAUGAAGCCUUGGCCUCUCUUCUGUUGGACAGAAUUGUUCUUUGGAAAGUAGAAUAGAUGAUGAAAGCUCAGUGGGGGAACACAAGAGGUAGUUAUAAGAGGCUGAAGUAAAAGAAAGUCAAGAAUAUGAACAAUUCUGAGCUGGUGCUUGUGAUGCCUGGAGAAAAGCACUUGAUGCAAAAGUUGCAGAGAACUUUUUGCUUUCCUCAUUAAUGUAUCGAAGAAGGAGUUUUUACUCAAAGGACACGUACAAAGAAGUCAGGUUGCUUGUUCUGUGGAACACGGAGUCAGAGGAGCAGAUGAAGAAGAAAGAAGUGUGAGCUUGUGUGUGUGUGGAUUCAUCUUGCCAUGGAUCAGGAGUUCACCUUGUGAGAGCUCGUGUGGACAGCACUAGAUUUUCCAAGGAGGCGGACCACAAGACCUCACCGCAUGGAGUCCUGUUUUACUUUGUAGUGCUAAUCUCAACCACUUUGUUCACCCACCUCUUACUUACACCUCCACCCAUGGUAAGGAUCAUAGAGUUGGAAGCGACACAUAAGGAUCAUCGAGUUCCAACUCCUGGCUCCACAUGGAACCACCCAAAAAUCAAACUCUGGAUGCUCCUUGAACUCUGGCAGCUUGGGGCCAUGACUACUGCCCUGAAGAACCUGUCCCAGCGCCCAGCCACCCUCUGGUGCAGAAUCUUUUCCCAAUAUCCAACAUGAAGAUGACAUAUCUUAACUGUUUCUUCCACGCAUCAUGUACUAUGUUUAAGCUCCAGGGAAACGGUGUGCUCCCAUAGUGCCAGCAGCACUAUUGGAGGGUGAAGUUAAGGCUGUGUCCUGUAAGAUGUCUGUAGCAAUCUAGGACUUUGAGCGCUUCUUAAGCCAGCCAGUCUGUUGGGAAAUACUUUUCCUCAUUGAUUGCUGCAGUUCAUUUGGAAAAGUUAAACAAAAUAGUGCAACCACUAUGAUGAAAAUGGCUUUGGUUAGAAUUGCCUUAAUUACAAUCCAGAAUUAUCCUGACGUUUACACAACUGUAAGUAAAAUCUGAAGUUUGCCAAGAUAGAUUAAUUUAGGAUAAAUGACCAUGCAACAGGUUCUGAUUUCAUUUCUGUUGGGAAAUCAACUAAUGCCAAGUUAGAUUAAACCUUGCCUCCAUGCUUGCCCUGUGCCAGCAUGAGAUAAAAAAUAUUCCUAGUACUCUUCCUCUGGGACCUACAAAUGAAUCUUGCAACAUCAGUGACACUGGCAUAGGCUGGUGCUGUGUACCACACAGAGAACACCAGACAAAGUCUGACCUUGCCCUGAGCAGUCCCAGAUGUGACCUUGUUUCUGAAAGCUCAUCUGUGUGUCUGUUUCUGUCUUGUGCCUCUGAUUUUAAUGCAUAUCCUCAGCAACUGUAUGCCAAAUGUGAAUGCGGACUCAUACUGAGAGUCAGGCAGCGUGCUUUGACCCGUAUGUUUGAUGAGUGGGUACAAACUGUGAUCAGGUUUUCCAAGUGAAAGCACUGCUGCCACAACCAUUUCCUGACAUUUGCUUACACAGUGUUUUCUUCCUUUCACCCUUCUAUUGCCUGGAACAAGUGCCACUGAUGUGAAAGCAAGUCUCCAUUUUAUUGACUAAAUGUUGUCCCAGAGUCCUUCUAACUUAUUCUUCUCUCAUUUUAAAGCCUUUCUUGUAUGAAUGCAACAUGUUAGUAACUCAUGAGUACACAGUGCCAUUAAUUUCCAGAAUUGAAAGUCUUCAUGCAAUUCAGAAGUCAGUAAUUUCCCGGAGAAUAUACGUUGUUUCACUCAUUUCCAUGAACUCAUGCUGAUUUAUAUCAAACUAGUGAGUAGAAACAAGAUACAGGUGAUUACUACUCUGGUAAAAUACAGGAAUGACUGUGAAUCAAGAAAAAUUUUUGUCUCCUUACACCUAUAAGGUGGCUUGCUGGUAGCCUUGAAGACAUUUUCUCCUUCAUUUAUGCAUCUACAAUGAUACAGUUCUCCUUGUUUUGCUUUGAUAGCGUGUCUGGCCAUGUUUUUAGUGCUGAAAACACGUGUAAGAAAACCUACUUGUUAAGUCAGACUGAAUUUACUGGACGUCGUCAAAACAAGAACUAAAUAAUAAAAGUGGAAUAGGUUGGGGGACUAAUUUCUGAAGUGGUUAGAUUUUUUGUGAUUGCAGUGAGUCAGUGGGCUGAGCUGUGAGAAUUAUUGGAGAUGUUUUCUCAAUGUGUGUGUGCGUGUCAGUUGCUUUACUAGAUCAGUCAGCGUUUAUAAAUCCACCUCCAGGUGGUGGAAUAAACAUGUAGCUCCGUGAUGAGAGUAUUAUUCUGGAAGCUUGAAAGCAACUACUGAUCUCAUUGGAUAUUAGACAGCUCUUCUGGCUUCGGGCUCAUUUGGGCUUUGAUUUGAGUACAGAAGAAGUGUGUCAUCUUAACAGUGUGCAAUAUUUUAAUGUAUUAUUUUGUGUUCAGUGUUUCUGGGAAAUGAAUGAAGAAACCCACCACUGUAUGCAUAAACAUUAUGGUCAAGGCUCUGACAGCUUCAGUGGCUGCCACGGGUUCCUCUGGCUACCCCUGUCUGGGAUUUUGAGGCUUGAGUUUCUGCAAUUUAUAUUCACCACUGUAAAGUCAUCUCUACCACAGGUUCCCAGGGAUCCCUGGGAUGUCUUCACAAAGCACUGUACGCUCUUCCCUUCCAUAUAACUGAAGAAUCAGUUAGGAUGGAAAAGACUCAAAAGAUCGUCCACCCAUAACCAACCUAACACUACUAUGCUCACCACUAAACCAUGUCCCUAAGUGUCACAGGAUUUCAGCUCAAAGCCAAUGUCACAAAAUUUAAUGCAGGUUCUUAUGGAGGAAGAAGCUGAUUUUAUUGUACAAAAGCCUUGAACAGAAUAAUUCUGCCCCUCAGGCUCUCACACUCUCAGCUGUCAAAAUGCAUGCGUUCAGGUGGUCUGGCCAGAGUACAUGUGAAAUUGGAGGAUGAGGGAUCUGGCAUCUCUUUGUUGCCUGUUGUCUGGUUAAAACAAAACAGCUUACGGACAAACCUCAUAUAUACCGUAGGAAACAUCAUCUGCAAUAAGGUAGUUCCUUGGCUUGUUUUUUGCUUACCUCACCUGUCAUAAAUCUUGGAUCAAGUUACUCUCUCUACUGACUUUUCCCCCGUUGGAAAUAUAUAUACUUGAGUCAUGUAUCAGUGGCCUUUUCUUGUUGGUCUAAGAGGAAAAAAAAAAAAAAAAGAAGUAUUGAAGGGUUAUACAUGAUAUUUUGCAUCCAUCUUGCCAUCUUGCUGUUGUGAAGAUUACAGAGUCUUCUGCUGAAGGGUAGUCUGGGCUGUAGGGUAUUGAGAGCUGACCUGGCAGAAAGAACAUUCAUAAUAACUGUAAUGCUGCAUAUUGUUACUAAUUUCUGCAUUGAUUUAUGAGCACUGUCACAGCUCUUCCCGGAUUGCCUGUAAGCCUGAGAGGCAUCUUUGAGGUGAGAUGCUGCUAGUUCGAAAGAAGAAAAUAAAUCUCUGCUGCACUCUCCGGUUGCAUAUGCGUGCACUGCAAAUGUUACACUGGAGGUCUUUAAAAUCAUCACUAGAAGGACAAAGAAAACUUCACAUUGAAAAUGGCGAUUUAUAAGAAGAGUUAAUGAGAUAGAAAAAAACCAGAAGCUUCAUUUCUCCAUUUCCAGUAAAAGGAUGGCCCUUUUAAGACCCAGCACAAAGCCAGGAGAUUUUCACUGACUUAUUUGGGCCAAGCCUCUCUCAUUUUAGUGUAAAAGCUACCUGGUCUGAAGAAAAGGCCAAUAUAUCACAGAAUAUUCCUCAAUUCAG